RNAcentral lists this transfer RNA (72 nucleotides) under Heliconius melpomene (postman butterfly). Its description in RNAcentral is "tRNA HMEL006603". It matches the Rfam family "tRNA". From Rfam's summary of the family: Transfer RNA (tRNA) molecules are approximately 80 nucleotides in length. Their secondary structure includes four short double-helical elements and three loops (D, anti-codon, and T loops). Lineage: Eukaryota; Metazoa; Arthropoda; Insecta; Lepidoptera; Nymphalidae. The record is from RNAcentral.
GAACGUAUGGUUUUGUGGUGAGAGCGCUUGAACGUUUUUGAAGAGGCGCGGGUUCAAAUCUCGCUACGUUCA